RNAcentral lists this ribosomal RNA (501 nucleotides) under uncultured bacterium. RNAcentral's name for it is "bacterial SSU rRNA". It matches the Rfam family "Bacterial small subunit ribosomal RNA", at positions 8 to 515 of the family's 1533-position model. The record is from RNAcentral.
AGAGUUUGAUCCUGGCUCAGAUCUGAACGCUGGCGGCAUGCCUUACACAUGCAAGUCGAGCGGGGUUUUCGGACCUAGCGGCGGACGGGUGAGUAAUGCGUAGGAAGCUGCCCGAUAGAGGGGGAUACCAGUUGGAAACGACUGUUAAUACCGCAUAAUGUCUACGGACCAAAGUGUGGGACCUUCGGGCCACAUGCUAUCGGAUGCGCCUACGUGGGAUUAGCUAGUUGGUGAGGUAAUGGCUCACCAAGGCGACGAUCUCUAGCUGGUUUGAGAGGAUGAUCAGCCACACUGGAACUGAGACACGGUCCAGACUCCUACGGGAGGCAGCAGUGGGGAAUAUUGGACAAUGGGCGCAAGCCUGAUCCAGCCAUGCCGCGUGUGUGAAGAAGGCCUUCGGGUUGUAAAGCACUUUCAGCGAGGAGGAAGGGAUGUAUGUUAAUAGCAUGCAUUUUUGACGUUACUCGCAGAAGAAGCACCGGCUAACUCUGUGCCAGCAGC